GACGAACGCUGGCGGCGCGCUUAACACAUGCAAGUCGAGCGAGAACCAGGGUUUCGGCCCUGGGGACAGCGGCGAACGGGUGAGUAACACGUGGGUAAUCCACCCUCGGCACCGGAAUAGCCCGGGGAAACCCGGAUUAAUGCCGGAUGGCCCGUCGACCUUUCGGGGCUGACGGAAAAGGUAGCUUCGGCCUCCGGCCGAGGACGAGCCCGCGGCGGAUUAGCUUGUUGGUGGGGUAACGGCCUACCAAGGCAGCGAUCCGAGCUGGUCUGAGAGGACGAUCAGCCACACUGGGACUGAGACACGGCCCAGACUCCUACGGGAGGCAGCAGUGGGGAAUCUUGCGCAAUGGGCGAAAGCCUGACGCAGCGACGCCGCGUGAGGGAAGAAGGCC
Molecule: ribosomal RNA, 394 nt
Filed under: uncultured bacterium
Lineage: Bacteria
Description: bacterial SSU rRNA
Rfam family: Bacterial small subunit ribosomal RNA
Source: RNAcentral